Molecule: transfer RNA, 82 nt
Filed under: Caudoviricetes sp.
Lineage: Duplodnaviria; Heunggongvirae; Uroviricota; Caudoviricetes
Description: tRNA-Tyr
Rfam family: tRNA
About the family: Transfer RNA (tRNA) molecules are approximately 80 nucleotides in length. Their secondary structure includes four short double-helical elements and three loops (D, anti-codon, and T loops).
Source: RNAcentral
GGGGGAGUAACCCAGCGGCGAGGGUAGCGGUCUGUAAAACCGUGACAAAGAAACAUCGUAGGUUCGAGUCCUACCUCCCCCA